Molecule: long non-coding RNA, 827 nt
Organism: Helianthus annuus (common sunflower)
Lineage: Eukaryota; Viridiplantae; Streptophyta; Magnoliopsida; Asterales; Asteraceae
Exons: 2
Source: RefSeq, a predicted model, not a curated record
CUCUUUUAACUCUUUUGGCACCUACCUUUUUUCUUUUGCUCAACUCCUUUCUUCCAUCUUUCUACUCCUCUAACCCCUGAAGACCCACCUACCAUCGACUCACCAGACACCGGGAGCUUCGAAGACCGUCUCUCACAGGUCUGCCUUCGUUACCGGAAAUAAAACCAAAGAGAUCAAACACAAGUCAAACUGAAAGUCAUAUCCGAUAAAGAUCGAAACUUCCGACGUAACUUUGGGACGACGGGUUUGAUUGCAGAUCAGAUCGAUUCUUUGGAGUCGCUAAAAGUCAGACAAGACUUAGAGCAAGUCAUCACUCUGGCUUAUAGAAGAAGCAUUAGUAAAGACCGGAAAUGAUAUAGAUUCUUCCAUUAAGAGUCUCAAUGACUUUACAAAUAGGAUGAAGCGGUGACAGAGUGUGGUGGUGACAAUUAUUCGAAUUGCUCGCCGUCUACUGUGGUGGUGGAAUUGACUUCUGUUAAAGAUUUUGGGACAUAGGGCCAGGUUGAUGCGUGUAAGAAGUCCGUGUGGAAUAGGUUUUGCUAAUGGAGUCGUGGAUGCGGUUAGUCCAGUUAUAGGUGCGGCUUGGCCUGCGCUCAAUAAGUCGACUGAACUGGCACUUAAGUUGUCAUCGUCAGAGUCAUCAAAAGUGCUUUCUGAUGGUUCAUUACCCGUUGCAUUACAUGUGGCAGUUUUACAUGGUUGCAUAUGUAUAAGUUUAAGAUGUUUAUGAAUUACAUUGUUCAUAUCUUGGUUAAUAGAUUGCUUACUAAGUGAAUUGGCCGAUUUUUAGGGGUUUACACCUUUAUUUUAGAUAUGAUGGUUGUAAA